Molecule: ribosomal RNA, 554 nt
Filed under: Japanophilus hojoi
Lineage: Eukaryota; Metazoa; Arthropoda; Insecta; Coleoptera; Staphylinidae
Description: partial 16S ribosomal RNA
Rfam family: Bacterial large subunit ribosomal RNA
Source: RNAcentral
UCGCCUGUUUAUCAAAAACAUGUCUUUUUGUUUAUAAUUUAAAGUCUAGCCUGCCCAAUGAGUAUUAAAUGGCUGCAGUAUAUUGACUGUACUAAGGUAGCAUAAUCAAUAGUUUUUUAAUUGAAAGCUGGUAUGAAAGGUUGAACGAAAAAAAAACUGUCUCUUUAUAAAUAAAUUAGAAUUUUAUUUUUAAGUUAAAAAGCUUAAAUUUUAUAAAAAGACGAGAAGACCCUAUAGAGUUUUAUAAGAAUAUUAUUAAUAAAUUAAUUUAAUUUUUAUAUUAUUAAUAAAAAUUUAUUUUAUUGGGGUGAUAGAAAAAUUUAUUUAACUUUUUUUAUAUUUAUACAUUAAUUUAUGUUUUAUAUGAUCCAAAUUUAUUUGAUUAAAAGAUUAAAUUACCUUAGGGAUAACAGCGUUAUUUUUUUUUAGAGUUCAUAUCAAUAAAAAAGUUUGCGACCUCGAUGUUGGAUUAAAAUUUAUUAUGGGUGAAGAAGUUCAUAGAUUUGGUCUGUUCGACCAUUAAAAUUUUACAUGAUCUGAGUUCAAACCGGAGA